RNAcentral lists this ribosomal RNA (585 nucleotides) under uncultured bacterium. RNAcentral's name for it is "partial 16S ribosomal RNA". It matches the Rfam family "Bacterial small subunit ribosomal RNA", at positions 355 to 1375 of the family's 1533-position model. The record is from RNAcentral.
UGGGGAAUUUUGGACAAUGGGCGAAAGCCUGAUCCAGCAAUGCCGCGUGUGUGAAGAAGGCCUUCGGGUUGUAAAGCACUUUUGUCCGGAAAGAAAUCCUUGGCUCUAAUACAGUCGGGGGAUGACGGUACCGGAAGAAUAAGCACCGGCUAACUACGUGCCAGCAGCCGCGGUAAUACGUAGGGUGCAAGCGUUAAUCGGAAUUACUGGGCGUAAAGCGUGCGCAGGCGGUUUGCUAAGACCGAUGUGAAAUCCCCGGGCUCAACCUGGGAACUGCAUUGGUGACUGGCAGGCUAGAGUAUGGCAGAGGGGGGUAGAAUUCCACGUGUAGCAGUGAAAUGCGUAGAGAUGUGGAGGAAUACCGAUGGCGAAGGCAGCCCCCUGGGCCAAUACUGACGCUCAUGCACGAAAGCGUGGGGAGCAAACAGGAUUAGAUACCCUAGUAGUCCACGCCCUAAACGAUGUCAACUAGUUGUUGGGGAUUCAUUUCCUUAGUAACGUAGCUAACGCGUGAAGUUGACCGCCUGGGGAGUACGGUCGCAAGAUUAAAACUUAAAGGAAUUGACGGGGUCAUAGCUGUUUCCU